This 69-nucleotide transfer RNA is filed under the name Lophostoma silvicola (D'Orbigny's round-eared bat). Its description in RNAcentral is "transfer RNA-His". It matches the Rfam family "tRNA". From Rfam's summary of the family: Transfer RNA (tRNA) molecules are approximately 80 nucleotides in length. Their secondary structure includes four short double-helical elements and three loops (D, anti-codon, and T loops). Lineage: Eukaryota; Metazoa; Chordata; Mammalia; Chiroptera; Phyllostomidae. The record is from RNAcentral.
GUAAGUAUAGUUUAAAAUAAAACAUCAGAUUGUGAAUCUGAUAUUAGAAACUAAACUUUCUUACUUACC